This 258-nucleotide ribosomal RNA is filed under the name uncultured bacterium. RNAcentral describes it as "partial 16S ribosomal RNA". It matches the Rfam family "Bacterial small subunit ribosomal RNA", at positions 28 to 288 of the family's 1533-position model. The record is from RNAcentral.
GACGAACGCUGGCGGCGUGCUUAACACAUGCAAGUCGAGCGGUAAGGCCCUUUCGGGGGUACACGAGCGGCGAACGGGUGAGUAACACGUGGGUGACCUGCCCUCAGCUCUGGGAUAAGCCUGGGAAACCGGGUCUAAUACUGGAUAUGACUCCAUGACGCAUGUUGUGGGGUGGAAAGCCUUGUGCGGCUGAGGAUGGGCCCGCGGCCUAUCAGCUUGUUGGUGGGGUGAUGGCCUACCAAGGCGACGACGGUAGCC